This 253-nucleotide ribosomal RNA is filed under the name uncultured bacterium. RNAcentral describes it as "partial 16S ribosomal RNA". It matches the Rfam family "Bacterial small subunit ribosomal RNA", at positions 524 to 776 of the family's 1533-position model. The record is from RNAcentral.
UACGUAGGUGGCAAGCGUUGUCCGGAAUUAUUGGGCGUAAAGCGCGCGCAGGCGGUCCUUUAAGUCUGAUGUGAAAGCCCACGGCUCAACCGUGGAGGGUCAUUGGAAACUGGGGGACUUGAGUGCAGGAGAGAAGAGUGGAAUUCCACGUGUAGCGGUGAAAUGCGUAGAGAUGUGGAGGAACACCAGUGGCGAAGGCGACUUCCUGGCCUGUUCUUGACGCUGAGGCGCGAAAGCUAGGGUAGCAAACGGG